UAGUUGUUGCGGUUAAAGCUCGUAGUUGGAUUUCUGUUGAGGUCAGCCGGUGUGGACUUCGUCCAUUAUUUGGUUUGGUCUUGGCAUCCUCCUGGGGAACGGUUCGUCUUCAUUGAUGGCCGAGAUUCAGGACUUUUACUUUGAGGAAAUUAGAGUGUUCACGGCAGGCAAGUGCUUUGAAUACAUUAGCAUGGAAUAAUAAUAUAGGACCUUAGUUCUAUUUUGUUGGUUUCUAGAGCUUAGGUAAUGAUUAAUAGGGACAAUUGGGGGCAUUCGUAUUAACGCGUCAGAGGUGGAAUUCUUGGAUUGCGUUACGACGAACUACUGCGAAAGCAUUUGCCAAAGAUGUUUUCAUUGAUCAAGAACGAAAGUAUGGGGAUCGAAGACGCUUAGAUACCGUCGUAGUCUAUACCAUAAACUAUGCCAACUAGAGAUUGGUGGGGUUCUCCUUUAUGGUCCCAUCNGCAUCUUAUGAGAAAUCAAAG
This 485-nucleotide ribosomal RNA is filed under the name uncultured eukaryote. RNAcentral's name for it is "SSU rRNA". It matches the Rfam family "Eukaryotic small subunit ribosomal RNA", at positions 608 to 1103 of the family's 1831-position model. The record is from RNAcentral.